AGCGAACGCUGGCGGCGUGCCUAACACAUGCAAGUCGAGCGAGAAAGGGGUGGCAACACCCUGAGUAAAGCGGCGAACGGGUGAGUAACGCGUGGGCAAUCUACCUUCCAGUCUGGGAUAACCUUCCGAAAGGAGGGCUAAUACCGGAUGAUGUCCUGUUGGGGCAUCCUGAGGGGAGCAAAGGGGGCGGACCCGCAAGGGGCGUCUCGCUGGAGGAGGAGCCUGCGUCCGAUUAGUCAGUUGGUGGGGUAACGGCUCACCAAAGGCGACGAUCGGUAGCCGGCCUGA
RNAcentral lists this ribosomal RNA (288 nucleotides) under uncultured bacterium. Its description in RNAcentral is "partial 16S ribosomal RNA". It matches the Rfam family "Bacterial small subunit ribosomal RNA", at positions 29 to 295 of the family's 1533-position model. The record is from RNAcentral.